RNAcentral lists this ribosomal RNA (440 nucleotides) under uncultured bacterium. Its description in RNAcentral is "partial 16S ribosomal RNA". It matches the Rfam family "Bacterial small subunit ribosomal RNA", at positions 338 to 795 of the family's 1533-position model. The record is from RNAcentral.
CCUACGGGAGGCAGCAGUGGGGAAUAUUGCACAAUGGGGGAAACCCUGAUGCAGCGAUGCCGCGUGGAGGAAGAAGGUUUUCGGAUUGUAAACUCCUUUUAUCAGGGACGAUAAUGACGGUACCUGAAGAAAAAGCUGCUGCUAACUCCGUGCCAGCAGCCGCGGUAAUACGGAGGGAGCGAGCGUUGUCCGGAAUUAAGGGGUGUAAAGGGAGCGUAGGCUGGACGGCAAGUAAGAUGUGAAAACUGCGGGCUCAACUUUCAGACUGCAUUUGAAACUGCUGUUCUUGAGUGACGUAGAGGAUAGCGGAAUUCCUGGUGUAGCGGUGAAAUCCGUAGAUAUUUGGAGGAACAUCGGUGGCGAAGGCGACUUACUGGGCUUUUACUGACGCUGAGGCUCGAAAGCGUGGGGAGCAAACAGGAUUAGAUACCCGGGUAGUC